Molecule: ribosomal RNA, 599 nt
Filed under: Trichoderma sp.
Lineage: Eukaryota; Fungi; Ascomycota; Sordariomycetes; Hypocreales; Hypocreaceae
Description: eukaryotic LSU rRNA
Rfam family: Eukaryotic large subunit ribosomal RNA
Source: RNAcentral
AAGCAUAUCAAUAAGCGGAGGAAAAGAAACCAACAGGGAUUGCCCCAGUAACGGCGAGUGAAGCGGCAACAGCUCAAAUUUGAAAUCUGGCCCCUCGGGUCCGAGUUGUAAUUUGUAGAGGAUGCUUUUGGCAAGGCGCCGCCCGAGUUCCCUGGAACGGGACGCCACAGAGGGUGAGAGCCCCGUCUGGCUGGCCGCCGAGCCUCUGUAAAGCUCCUUCGACGAGUCGAGUAGUUUGGGAAUGCUGCUCAAAAUGGGAGGUAUAUGUCUUCUAAAGCUAAAUAUUGGCCAGAGACCGAUAGCGCACAAGUAGAGUGAUCGAAAGAUGAAAAGCACCUUGAAAAGAGGGUUAAAUAGUACGUGAAAUUGUUGAAAGGGAAGCGCUUGUGACCAGACUUGGGCGCGGCGGAUCAUCCGGGGUUCUCCCCGGUGCACUUCGCCGCGUCCAGGCCAGCAUCAGUUCGUCGCGGGGGAAAAAGGCUUCGGGAACGUGGCUCCCCUGGGAGUGUUAUAGCCCGUUGCACAAUACCCUGCGGUGGACUGAGGACCGCGCAUCUGCAAGGAUGCUGGCGUAAUGGUCACCAGCGACCCGUCUGAAA